UACCUACAAACCGGUAGUUGUAAGUCCUAUCUUUGUGGUUUUCUACCUACAAGCUGGUAGUUGUAAAAUCCCACUUUCACCCCCUAGCAGAGGUAACCUUUGUGGUUCAUGCUGUUUGUUGGCUUCUACCUACAAACCGGUAGUUGUAAGUCCUAUCUUUGUGGUUUUCUACCUACUAGCUGGUAGUUGUAAAAUCCCACUUUCAUCCCCU
Molecule: long non-coding RNA, 211 nt
Filed under: Lathyrus oleraceus (garden pea)
Lineage: Eukaryota; Viridiplantae; Streptophyta; Magnoliopsida; Fabales; Fabaceae
Description: Pisum sativum (pea) long non-coding RNA (PSAT_LNC018045)
Source: RNAcentral